RNAcentral lists this long non-coding RNA (2621 nucleotides) under Mus musculus (house mouse). RNAcentral describes it as "long non-coding RNA chr2:91578977-91581598". Lineage: Eukaryota; Metazoa; Chordata; Mammalia; Rodentia; Muridae. The record is from RNAcentral.
UCUAACUUUUAUAUUUUAUUUUUAUGUCAAUAUUUUUAAACCAUAAAGUAAAAUUCUAGUACUGUAGUUUUUUGAAAGAUUUUUAUUUUUUUGUCAGUCAUGGUAGAGCAUGCCUUUAGUCCCAGCACUUAGGAGACAGAGACAGGUGGGUCUCUGUGAGUUCCAGGCCAUCCUGGCCAGCCAGGGUUGCAUAGUAAGACCCUAUCUCAAAAAGAAAGAAAAGAAGAAAGAAUUUUGUAUGUGUAUAUGUGUUUUGAGUGUGGGUAUGUACACACAAGUGCAAUACCCAAUAAGAGGCUAACUUAUUUAUAGUUCCGUGUUAAAAUACUAUCAUAGUAUCUUUUAAGUAGUUCAGAAGUCUGUAAUAUUGACCACAUAAUAGCAAUUGUAAAACUUUGUGCAAGUUUAAUUACAGUUUGAACCUGUGUUGGAUGUUUGUACUCAGGUGCAGCAGACACUGAAUAUCCUUCAGCAACUGGCAGUAGCCAUGGGUGCAAACAUCAGGCAGCAUGUAAAGAACCUGGGCAUCCCUGUCAUUACUGUUCUCGGAGAUAGCAAGGUAAAGAAGCCUCUUUCCAACAUAGUCCAUUCUACACUAAGGCAGCCGCAUUCUUGGGGUAACUAACUCUGUUUUAGAGUUCACAUAAUUGCUUAAAAUAUUAUAAAGAUAGAUACUGUUACCUUCCUGGCAGAAUUGAUAUGAUGACUAGAUGUACCAUUAUUUAGUUUGUGAUCCUUAAAUAGUUACAUACUCUAGGUUUAGUAUCUUUAUGAAAUUUCUUUCUUAAAGAAUUGAAACAUAUUUUAAAAAAAGAUUUAUUUAGCUGGGCGUGGUGGCACACGCCUUUAAUCCCAGCACCUGGGAGGCAGAAGCAGGCGGAUUUCUGAGUUCGAGGCCAGCCUGGUUUACAAAGUGAGUUCCAGGACAGCCAGGGCUACACAGAGAAACCCUGUUUCGAAAAACCAAAACAAACAAACAAAGAGAUUUAUUUAUUUUAUGUAUAUGAGCACACUGUAGCUGUCUUCAAACACACAGGAAGAGGGUAUUGGAUCCCAUUACAGAUGGUUGUGAACUACCAUGUGGUUGCUGGGAAUUGAACUCAGGACCUCUGGAAGAACAGUCAGUGCUCUUAACUGCUGAACCAUCUCUCCAGCCCGAAAUACUUUUUAAUAAUCAACAUAUUGAUUAUUUAGUUGAAACAAUCAUUUUUAUUAAGAUACAUCUUAAUGUACCUGUUUCAUAUAAUAUACAUUCAAUAAAUGAUUGCUAUUUAGGAUUAUAAUGUCAUUAAGGUUUUGUUUUUAGUAUUUCUUUGGUUGGUUUGGUUUGGUUUGAGAAGAGGUUUCUUAUUUAAAGUUGCCUGUCCUGGAAAUCUGUGUGUAGACCACACUUAGCUCAAGAGAUUCACCUGCUUCUCUCUCCCAGGCACUGGCAUUAAAGGCGUGUGCCACCACAACUGGCUUAAAGUUUUGACAUAAUGAAUAAAUACAUCAUUAAAUAUAAAGUUUAGAUCUUGAAAUAAUAUUCUACAUCGUCCCACCCUGAACUACUACAACAUGCUUUUCUAGUACUUCAGUUAGGUGCUAAUAAUUGGAUCAUCUCAGAAGUCAUUGAAGUAUCAUUGAAGGCUGCAACUUUUUAUUUAAAUAUUUGCCAUAGGGUAAAUAUUUUAAUGUUUCUUUACUUUUGUGUUAUUGAGUUAUUGACUUAAUUUGAAAAAUUGAGUCUUUUCAUAAAUCUUUAUACUCUGUGAAUGGAAGUCAAUAUUUAAACAUAUUCAAGUUGUUUGCUUAAUUCUUAACAAUUUGAGCCUCUAACAUAGAAUUUCAUUCUUUAGCUUAUAACAUCAUAAAAGUUCCCAUGGAUUCAUAAAGCAAAAUCUAUUUAUUAUCCUUAUACUAUUUACCUAGAUUAUUAUUUUACCUAAUUGAGUAUAAGAUUUUUUUUUCUAAUUUAGUGUUUUAUAUUUCCACCUUCUUUUGAAGUCUUUAGAAGAACCAUAGCACCAGUUUCUGUUUCAGAGAAGAUGGUUUAAUUAUGUCCAUGGGGCCUUAACAAGGGAAGCCUCUGUUCACACUCACCCUCCCUCCAACUGUACUUGUUAUUUUUGCCAAUUCUCUUCUCAAUUCAGAACAAUGUUCGAGCUGCUGCCCUAGCAACUGUGAAUGCUUGGGCAGAACAAACUGGCAUGAAAGAAUGGCUGGAGGGAGAAGAUCUUUCUGAAGAACUUAAAAAGGAAAAUCCCUUCCUGAGGCAAGAGGUUAGUACCAUAAAGAAUCAUAUGUUUUACUGAUACCUUUUACUUCCUUAGAUGGCCUCUAUAAUAACUAUGUAUGCAUGGGAAGGGGGGAGUAGUUGAGAUAGCGCCUCUCUAUAUAAUUUAGCCCUGGCUGUCCUGGUACUCACUGUGUAGACCAGGCUGACCUCGAACCUUAAGAGUUUUGUCUACCUCUGCUCUGCUGAGAUUAAAGGUGUGUUCUACCAUGCCCAGCUUAACAAAUUUGGUGGGUUACAUCUAUAAUCCUGUUUCUUUGAAGGCUAAGGCAAGGAGGAUCAGCAAAGGUUUGAAGCCAGCUUGUUUUACAUAAUGAAUUGCAGACUAGCAUGAAAACAGUUUCCC